UUGCCGCUAUUAUUUAGAUGGCAAUAUGCGACAGGAAGUGCACAAUAAUUAGAUUAUGAUAAAUAAUUCUGACAAUACUAAUCUGAAUGUCAUCUGAUUGUUUCGGUUUGUGCAUUGAGUAAAAAACACCUAAAAAUAAGAUUUUCCUUUAAAUUUCUCUCUUUUAAUGCUUGCCUUUGCAGAUUAAAGCUAUUCUAGACAGAAAGACAGGAAAGGAAUGAUGGACAGAAGGAGAGGGUGUGAAAAGAAACAGCUCAGUAACGUAAUUCAGUGAGAAUACAGCGUUCCUCUGCACUCAUUUGGGAGACAUUGUGCUGUCAAGGAGAUCCACCAUCUCUGAGCAACUGCAGCUGAUGAGCACGUAUCAAAUUCAGCUUCUGUGUCUUCCCUUCUCUCUCUGCCUCCUUCCUCUUCUCUCUUGAGGAAUCGUUUCGAUGUCUUCUCUGACUUGCUAAAUGAUGAUGGCUAAAUCUCCACACAGCUGCCAUGCCAGAUCCACUGCAGGACCCGGUAACGAUUGAAAAAAGCGACUGACUCUGUCAGUCAUCCAGAUACACUACCACUUUCCCACGAGACACCGGUUCAGAAGAGACUGAGAUUUAGAAAGAGAAGUUUGAAGUGUUGAACUCACUUUAAUACUCAUCUUUCUCUAUGCCAAUAAAUACCUGAGAUACAUACUUCAGCAUUUACUUACAGACACACUUGCGCUGAAGCCUAAUUUGGUUUAUUGGCUUGGUAGGUGGCUCAUCUCCAAGCAUAACAUGUUUCUGCUCAGGUUGGGGAGUUGGGAAAUCGGAGAUGCAGUUCCAGCAUAAAAAGUGAGAAGGGGUCUGGCCUCCACACCCUGCCGUACCACAAAGCGUCUGUGUCCUUUACACAUUACAGUGGAAAGAAGGUCAAGAGUGACUGUGCUGAUUAAGCUGGAUCUUCUAAACAUAUUUUUAGCUAACUGCUUGAACACAUCCGGUUUACUGACACAGGCAUCUGAAGGAAACUCUAUCAUCCCCUGGAGAACUGAGGUUUGUUACACCACAUCAACACAAGAACUUUAUGUAUGAUAAUAAGGGAUUUGUAUGUACAUGUCUACGACCGUGUAGUGACACAUUGAUUUGGGAUAGAAGAAAUCUUCCAACAUGAAAAAAGUGACUAACAUCACCCUUAAAGAAUGGAUGCAUCCCUCCCGUACUCAACCAACACCAAACAAUGACAAGUGAGCAAACACACACCAGUGCACCCAGAACCAAACACUAAAUACACACAUCCUAUACCA
Cyprinus carpio (common carp) is the source of this 1270-nucleotide long non-coding RNA. The record is from Ensembl. Lineage: Eukaryota; Metazoa; Chordata; Actinopteri; Cypriniformes; Cyprinidae.